AGUGAACGCUGGCGGUAGGCCUAACACAUGCAAGUCGAACGGCAGCACAGUAAGAGCUCGCUCUUACGGGUGGCGAGUGGCGGACGGGUGAGGAAUACAUCGGAAUCUACUUUUUCGUGGGGGAUAACGUAGGGAAACUUACGCUAAUACCGCAUACGACCUACGGGUGAAAGCAGGGGAUCUUCGGACCUUGCGCGAUUGAAUGAGCCGAUGUCGGAUUAGCUAGUUGGCGGGGUAAAGGCCCACCAAGGCGACGAUCCGUAGCUGGUCUGAGAGGAUGAUCAGCCACACUGGAACUGAGACACGGUCCAGACUCCUACGGGAGGCAGCAGUGGGGAAUAUUGGACAAUGGGCGCAAGCCUGAUCCAGCCAUACCGCGUGGGUGAAGAAGGCCUUCGGGUUGUAAAGCCCUUCUGUUGGGAAAGAAAAGCAGCAGGUUAAUACCCCGCUGUUCUGACGGUACCCAAAGAAUAAGCACCGGCUAACUUCGUG
This 492-nucleotide ribosomal RNA is filed under the name uncultured bacterium. Its description in RNAcentral is "partial 16S ribosomal RNA". It matches the Rfam family "Bacterial small subunit ribosomal RNA", at positions 29 to 507 of the family's 1533-position model. The record is from RNAcentral.